This is a long non-coding RNA of Falco peregrinus (peregrine falcon), 495 nucleotides long. RefSeq lists it as uncharacterized. The record is from RefSeq and is a predicted model, not a curated record. NCBI's taxonomy places the organism in Eukaryota, Metazoa, Chordata, Aves, Falconiformes, Falconidae. The transcript has 3 exons.
UUUGAGAACUUUCCUGAAUCUACUCCAACUGUUACCAGUACAAUGCAGCAUCGUGGAGCCUUGUGUUUCCAAGGGAAAAAAUCGAGAGGACUGAGGCUGGAAAACUGCAAAGAUAUUCCUGAAGGCGGCAAUUGAAAAGGAGCAGUGUAACUGCAUAACCCCGGCCGACAGGUUAGGCUGAGAACAAGACUAGAUGACACGCUGGAUGCCUUCAGGUAGAUGGUUUUCUGCAAAAGCAUAUUAAUUUUGAUAACGAAUACAUUUCUGCAGUUAUUGGUAAAACAGUAAAAGAAGAUUAUCUCUGUGACCCAGAGUUCAACUCAAAAUUUGUGCAAGCAAAAUUUCAGCUGCUGCUGCUUGGGUUGUUAACAUCAUUAGAGUCCAGGAGGUAGGAGCUAAACUGUUGUAAGUUUCUUCAGCUCGAAAUUUUUAAAUUUUGCUUUUUUCAGCUUUUCUUUUGUUAACACAAAGAACUCACUUCAUGCUUAUAGCCAU